CUCCCAGACUCCUACGGGAGGCAGCAGUGAGGAAUAUUGGUCAAUGGGCGCGAGCCUGAACCAGCCAAGUCGCGUGAGGGAGGACGGCCCUACGGGUUGUAAACCUCUUUUGCCGGGGAGCAACGGGCGUCACGUGUGGCGCCACUGAGAGUACCCGGAGAAAAAGCAUCGGCUAACUCCGUGCCAGCAGCCGCGGUAAUACGGAGGAUGCGAGCGUUAUCCGGAUUUAUUGGGUUUAAAGGGUGCGCAGGCGGAAUGUCAAGUCAGCGGUAAAAUUUCGGGGCUCAACCCCGUCGUGCCGUUGAAACUGGCGUUCUUGAGUGAGCGAGAAGUAUGCGGAAUGCGUGGUGUAGCGGUGAAAUGCAUAGAUAUCACGCAGAACUCCGAUUGCGAAGGCAGCAUACCGGCGCUCAACUGACGCUCAUGCACGAAAGCGUGGGUAUCGAACAGGAUUAGAUACCCGAGUA
Molecule: ribosomal RNA, 467 nt
Filed under: uncultured bacterium
Lineage: Bacteria
Description: bacterial SSU rRNA
Rfam family: Bacterial small subunit ribosomal RNA
Source: RNAcentral